CGGAGGUGGCAAGCGUUACUCGGAAUUAUUGGGUGUAAAGGGCAAGUAGGCGGUCUAAUAAGUGGGGGGUGAAAUACUCCGGCUCAAUCGGAGAACAGCCUUCCAAACUGCUAGACUUGAGUAUGACAGAGGAAAAUGGAAUUCUAGGUGUAAGGGUGAAAUCUGUAGAUAUCUAGAAGAACACCAGCUGCGAAGGCGAUUUUCUGGGUCAUUACUGACGCUAAAUUGCGAAAGCUAGGGGAGCAAACAGAAUUAGAUACUCUGGUAGUCCUAGCCGUAAACGAUGAGCACUAGGUGUCGGGUCCUUUAGGAUUCGGUGCCGCAGCUAACGCAUUAAGUGCUCCACCUGGGGACUACGGUCGCAAGGCUA
This 370-nucleotide ribosomal RNA is filed under the name uncultured organism. RNAcentral describes it as "bacterial SSU rRNA". It matches the Rfam family "Bacterial small subunit ribosomal RNA", at positions 526 to 896 of the family's 1533-position model. The record is from RNAcentral.